RNAcentral lists this ribosomal RNA (433 nucleotides) under uncultured bacterium. RNAcentral's name for it is "partial 16S ribosomal RNA". It matches the Rfam family "Bacterial small subunit ribosomal RNA", at positions 29 to 507 of the family's 1533-position model. The record is from RNAcentral.
AACGAACGCUGGCGGCAGGCCUAACACAUGCAAGUCGAGCGAGGACUUAGGUACUAGUGGCGGACGGGUGAGUAACGUGUGGGACCGUGCCCUUUUCUUCGGGAUUGUCCUGGGAAACUGGGGGUAAUACCGGAUGAGCCCCUUGGGGGAAAGAUUCAUCUUCGAAGGAGCGGCCCGCGUUGGAUUAGGUAGUUGGUGGGGUAAUGGCCUACCAAGCCGACGAUCGAUAGCUGGUUUGAGAGGAUGAGCAGCCACACUGGGACUGAGACACGGCCCAGACUCCUACGGGAUGCAGCAGUGGGUAAUCUUAGACAAUGGGGGAAACCCUGAUCUAGCCAUGCCGCGUGAGCGAUGAAGGCCUGAGGGUUGUAAAGCUCUUUAAGCUGGGAAGAUAAUGACGGUACCAACAGAAGAAGCCCCGGCUAACUCCGUG